GAUGAACGCUAGCGGCAGGCCUAACACAUGCAAGUCGAGGGGUAACAGAAGAAAGCUUGCUUUCUUGCUGACGACCGGCGAACGGGUGCGUAACACGUAUGUAAUCUGCCUCUUACAGGGGGAUAGCCCAGAGAAAUCUGGAUUAAUACCCCAUAAUAUCAUUGGAUCGCCUGGUUUGAUGAUUAAAGAAUUUCGGUAAGAGAUGAGCAUGCUUCUGAUUAGUUUGUUGGUGAGGUAACGGCUCACCAAGACUACGAUCAGUAGGGGGUCUGAGAGGAUGAUCCCCCACACUGGUACUGAGACACGGACCAGACUCCUACGGGAGGCAGCAGUGAGGAAUAUUGCACAAUGGAAGGCAACUCUGAUCCAGCCAUGCCGCGUGAAGGAUGAAUGCCCUCUGGGUUGUAAACUUCUUUUAUAUGGGAAGAAAAACCCCUCUACGUGUAGAGGUCUGACGGUACCAUAAGAAUAAGGACCGGCUAACUCCGUGCCAGCAGCCGCGGUAAUACGGAGGGUCCAAGCGUUAUCCGGAUUUAUUGGGUUUAAAGGGUCCGUAGGCGGGAAGAUAAGUCAGUGGUGAAAGCCUGCAGCUCAACUGCAGAACUGCCAUUGAAACUGUCUUUCUUGAAUAUAGAUGAAGUGGGCGGAAUAUAUCAUGUAGCGGUGAAAUGCAUAGAUAUGAUAUAGAACACCGAUUGCGAAGGCAGCUCACUAAACUAUUAUUGACGCUGAGGGACGAAAGUGUGGGGAGCGAACAGGAUUAGAUACCCUGGUAGUCCACACCGUAAACGAUGAUUACUCGGUGCUAGCGAUAUAUAGUGUCUAAGCGAAAGCGAUAAGUAAUCCACCUGGGGAGUACGGUCGCAAGGUUAAAACUCAAAGGAAUUGACGGGGGCCCGCACAAGCGGUGGAGCAUGUGGUUUAAUUCGAUGAUACGCGAGGAACCUUACCUGGGCUUAAAUGUAUUUUGACAGGCUGGGAAACCAGCCCUUCUUCGGACAAUUUACAAGGUGCUGCAUGGUUGUCGUCAGCUCGUGCUGUGAGGUGUCGGGUUAAGUCCCAUAACGAGCGCAACCCCUAUCUUUAGUUGCCAGCGAGUCAUGUCGGGGACUCUAAAGAAACUGCCAGCGUAAGCUGUGAGGAAGGUGGGGAUGACGUCAAAUCAUCACGGCCCUUACAUCCUGGGCUACACACGUGCUACAAUGGUGGAGACAGUGAGCAGCAAACCGGUGACGGUGAGCCAAUCUUCAAACUCCAUCUCAGUUCGGAUCGAAGUCUGCAACUCGACUUCGUGAAGUUGGAAUCGCUAGUAAUCGCAUAUCAGCCAUGAUGCGGUGAAUACGUUCCCGGGCCUUGUACACACCGCCCGUCAAGCCAUGGAAGCUGGGAGUGCCUGAAGUCGGUUACCGUAAGGAUCCGCCUAGGGCAAAACUAGUAACUGGGGCU
This 1446-nucleotide ribosomal RNA is filed under the name uncultured prokaryote. RNAcentral's name for it is "partial 16S ribosomal RNA". It matches the Rfam family "Bacterial small subunit ribosomal RNA". The record is from RNAcentral.